AUUGGACUCUAGUAAUGAAACUUGCUGCUCGCGGUUGAUGUUUCCAUUUUUACCGGUAAAAACAUUAAAGACAACUUUUGUUAAGAGGAACCUCGUAUCAAACCGUCGAUCUAUUUUAUCGAAGCGAAACAGCUUUACCGACAUAAAUCGCACUUACUAUAGAUUCGGAAUGCUUCAAGAAAGCGGCUAUAUAGAAAAUUAAGCGAGCGUUUUCGGGUCGAAAAUGUCUUCACGGAUACAGAAAAAGCGCAAUUAUUACCGUUGAAUGUUGAAACACAAUUGUUUUAAUUCGACGGUGACACGACAAAAGUGUCUAAGCGACACUUUGAGUUUAACCGACAUGACUUCACUGUUUGUCGGGGAAAUACGUGUUUCGUCCAUUGCGCGUGCUUAAAAACAGCUGUGACCAUUCUUUAACGAACAAUUUGAAUUUUAAAUUCGCGGUAUAAACGAUACUUUUUAUUUUGUCUUCUCGAUUAUAUAGGGGCUAAACGACAACGAAAGC
Molecule: non-coding RNA, 505 nt
Organism: Cinara cedri
Lineage: Eukaryota; Metazoa; Arthropoda; Insecta; Hemiptera; Aphididae
Source: the annotation of a GenBank genome assembly